UGAAUGCACACAUCACAAAGAAGUUUCUCAGAAUGCUUCUGUGUAGUUUCUAUGUGAAAAUAUUUCCUUUUCCACAAUAGGCUUCAAAGCUCUCCAAAUAUACAGUUGAAGAUUCUACAAAAAGAGUGUUUCAAAACUGCUCAAUCAAAAGGAAGGUUCAACUCUGUGAGAUGAAUGCACACAUCACAAAGAAGUUUCUCAGAAUUCUUCUGUGUAGUUUUUAUGUGAA
RNAcentral lists this long non-coding RNA (229 nucleotides) under Homo sapiens (human). RNAcentral's name for it is "HSALNT0396928". Lineage: Eukaryota; Metazoa; Chordata; Mammalia; Primates; Hominidae. The record is from RNAcentral.